Molecule: ribosomal RNA, 416 nt
Filed under: uncultured bacterium
Lineage: Bacteria
Description: bacterial SSU rRNA
Rfam family: Bacterial small subunit ribosomal RNA
Source: RNAcentral
GAGGAAUAUUGGGCAAUGCCCGCAAGGGUGACCCAGCAACGCCGCGUGGAGGAUGAAUGUCGUAAGAUUGUAAACUCCUGUUAGAGGGGAAGAAUAGUACCGGUUGGACCGGUAUAUGACUGUACCCUCAGAGAAAGCCCCGGCUAACUUCGUGCCAGCAGCCGCGGUAAUACGAAGGGGGCUAGCGCUGUUCGGAAUUACUGGGCGUAAAGCGCACGUAGGCGGAUCGAUCAGUUAGGGGUGAAAUCCCGGGGCUCAACCCCGGAACUGCCUCUAAGACUGUCGAUCUGGAGUUCGAGAGAGGUGAGUGGAAUUCCGAGUGUAGAGGUGAAAUUCGUAGAUAUUCGGAGGAACACCAGUGGCGAAGGCGGCUCACUGGCUCGAUACUGACGCUGAGGUGCGAAAGCGUGGGGAGC